GGUAAAAACAUGUAUCCAGCCAUUCACUACGGACUUAGUAAAAACAUAUAAGAGAAGUCAAAAAAAUUGAGAAAAUAAAAAAGAGAGAGAAACAUACUUCAUCGAAAAAUAAGGAAAGGAAAGUAAUUGCCCGCUUGAAGUGAAUGUUGUGGGUCAGGAGACGAACUCAGGAAUCUGGUUAAAUUUCUUCUAUAUCAUCAGGAAUAAUAUAUCAAUGAUGCGUGGGUUGAUGUGAGUUACAGUUAUUAUAAGGGUCGGCGGCUGACACGUUUUGACAACCUUCUCUUCCUCAUCGUUUUUGCAUGUAGAUAAAUGUACAGUAUACAGAGUGGUGAGAGGGUCCCACUACUGUUUAUAAUGUUUUGAAACAUGUACUUGUUAAAUAUUUGUUUUUGAAAUUAUAUAAAAUGUGCAUUUCAUUUA
Salvia hispanica is the source of this 423-nucleotide non-coding RNA. The record is from RefSeq and is a predicted model, not a curated record. Lineage: Eukaryota; Viridiplantae; Streptophyta; Magnoliopsida; Lamiales; Lamiaceae.